UAGUCUUCACAUUAUACGUUUCAAGUGCUAACUAGUCAGUGUGAUCUCUUUGUUCUAGAAAAUUACUGUACUAAAGGUAAGUUGGUAGCAUUAUAGCCAAAUUUUGGACCUCACUGUAUUGAUCUCUAUUUCCUGCUUAUAGCAUUGAAUCAUAGACGCGUAUCCCCCACUCCUUCAGUACUAUCACUUCAAGAACCCAAUAAAACUUUCUGUCGCAAUUUAUAGGGACGUAUACUGUAAUACCCCAC
This 248-nucleotide long non-coding RNA is filed under the name Capsicum annuum. Its description in RNAcentral is "long non-coding RNA (CANN_LNC021222)". Lineage: Eukaryota; Viridiplantae; Streptophyta; Magnoliopsida; Solanales; Solanaceae. The record is from RNAcentral.